This is a long non-coding RNA of Cyprinus carpio carpio, 1565 nucleotides long. The record is from Ensembl. Lineage: Eukaryota; Metazoa; Chordata; Actinopteri; Cypriniformes; Cyprinidae.
GGAAGAUAAACAAAAAUAAACACAGUACAAUAAGAAUUUUUGUUGCAGAUUUUACUAUUUUUAUUUAGAUUUUUUUAAACAUUUUUUCCGGGGCUUUUUGUUUUAUCAGCUGGGCCCCGGACCAACCGAACCAAGCAAUGCAGAAACCAAAGGUUUCACCAAAAAUUCGCUUCUUCACUUUACUUUACAUUUGUAGCAGUAUUCAUUGGUCAGCAACGUGUUAAAGAGAUUUCUUGGUUCAGUUUUGGCAUUACAUUCAUUGGUUUUUUUCUGGUCGGUUCUUGGCUUUGUAGCAUUUGUCGGAAAUUUGAGGCUUCAUGCGCGGAUCGUCAGGCGUCACAGCGGUGUUAGGCUUCGCAGACUGCGCAGGCCUCUGCACAUCUGGGCACCAGCACAAAACAAAGAUAGAGACUCAUGCAAAUGAGUUUCCCCUCUGAAUGACGCUGUGCCAGAUGACCCCGCCCCUGGCAGCAAGGAUUUACAUGACCUCCGCCUCCUUCAUGAUGCUAGAACAAAGAAGAAAACCCUUCAGCUACAGGAAAUGCAGAUGGUGUCAAAUAUCAAUUAUAUAACAACUGUAUAACCAUAUAACUUAUUAUAUUACAAUAUUACCGAAUAAUGCGUUUGAACGAAAUCAUUGGAUAUAACACUGUAAGGUUUAUGUUUACAGUAGUACCCAGUCAUAAAAACAUCUGAUAUACUCACACAUUAGUGCUCCAAGACCAGUCAGGUUUCCACAGCAUCUCCCACAGAGGAAACACCGUAGACCUGUAAAGAUGAUUCAGUUUCCAGGUUACACAUCGACAUAAACACCAAAAUAAAAUUUGCAUGUCAAAAUUUGCUAAUCAUUUAAUUGCAAUGAUUGAAAACACUUUAUGUAAUCUUUAAGGAAACACAUUUUUGUAAUAAAGUAAUAAUUACGGGAAAUUUUCUCUAUAACUAGUUGUCUUACCUUGUUGAUCUGGCAGCAGAAGGAUCUGGUCACGGAAAGGACAGAUCAGUGUGUCUCUCUGUAAUUUAUACUAGUACACGGUUCCCACCCCUGCUUGAUCUGUUAACAGCUGUUGCUCUAGUUUCCCUUUCCCAGUAGUUUCUGGCCUUCUAUCUGCUCAUUGUUCUGUUUCUUGGGGAAUGGCAUAACAUUUGUUUUAGUUUUUUAGUGCCUUUUAAACAUCCAGUAAAGUGAAUCUUGAUCACUCUUAUCUCUAGAAAUGUAGAUUGGGAAACUUAAGUGUAAUAUGAUGCUUACCUUAGUAAAUAAUCCAUGCUUUUUCUUUCUAUGAAUCUUUCUUAUGUAUAUUUUUUCGUACUUCCCAUUAAAUUUUGACUGCAAAUAGUACAAGUAAUCUUUUUUUUUUUUUUUUAAUCAUGUCCAUGUUUGUGUGCAUCUUACAUAGCAUGUGCCUUUAAAGUCACAAAGUAGAACAAAACCUGCUAUGUUUUGCCCUUGGAAGCAGGAUCUUCUCAACUCCAUCUCCUCUCUAUAUAACGAAAAAAAAUUGAAAAAACACAUCAAGAUCGCCAAAUGGGAUUGCAGAUAAUAAUUAUAUUGCAAUUUAUAAAUU